RNAcentral lists this ribosomal RNA (164 nucleotides) under uncultured bacterium. RNAcentral describes it as "partial 16S rRNA". It matches the Rfam family "Bacterial small subunit ribosomal RNA", at positions 355 to 511 of the family's 1533-position model. The record is from RNAcentral.
UAGGGAAUCUUCCACAAUGGACGAAAGUCUGAUGGAGCAACGCCGCGUGAGUGAAGAAGGUUUUCGGAUCGUAAAGCUCUGUUGUUGGUGAAGAAGGAUAGAGGACAGUAACUGGUCUUUAUUUGACGGUAAUCAACCAGAAGUCACGGCUAACUACGUGCCAG